This 494-nucleotide ribosomal RNA is filed under the name uncultured bacterium. RNAcentral's name for it is "bacterial SSU rRNA". It matches the Rfam family "Bacterial small subunit ribosomal RNA", at positions 27 to 518 of the family's 1533-position model. The record is from RNAcentral.
GGAUGAACGCUGGCGGCGUGCUUAAUACAUGCAAGUCGAACGAAGCACUUCAGCAGACUCCCUUCGGGGUGAAGCCGGUGUGACUUAGUGGCGGACGGGUGAGUAACGCGUGGUAACCUGCCUUAUACAGGGGGAUAACAGCUGGAAACGACUGCUAAUACCCCAUAAGCGCACGGCACCGCAUGAUGCAGUGUAGAAAAAGAUUUAUCGGUAUAAGAUGGACCCGCGUCUGAUUAGUUAGUUGGCGGGGUAACGGCCCACCAAGACCGCGAUCAGUAGCCGACUUGAGAGAGUGAUCGGCCACAUUGGGACUGAGACACGGCCCAGACUCCUACGGGAGGCAGCAGUAGGGAAUAUUGCACAAUGGGGGAAACCCUGAUGCAGCCGACGCCGCGUGAGUGAUGAAGUAUUUCGGUAUGUAAAGCUCUAUCGGCAGGGAAGAUAAUGACGGUACUUGACUAAGAAGCCCCGGCUAACUACGUGCCAGCAGCUGC